Molecule: long non-coding RNA, 2802 nt
Filed under: Homo sapiens (human)
Lineage: Eukaryota; Metazoa; Chordata; Mammalia; Primates; Hominidae
Description: PREDICTED lncRNA (TCONS_00028534)
Source: RNAcentral
GGAGGCGCGGUCCUUCCAGCCUCUUGCUCCUGUGAAUCACAGGUCGGCGGGAGCCUUUUUUCCUUUUUUUUUUUUUCCCGGGGAGUCGGCCUCGGGGCUCUGCUCUCCUACCUCAGUCUGCCCUACCCUGGAAUGGGGAAAAUGCGGACAUGCCACUCAGUCCGGCCGCGAACAGUGCUCCAGAACUCAGAGAGUUUUCCAGACGGGUGGAGAUCGCGUUCCCUGCCCGCCGAGGUCCCAUCGCUUCCCUGCUGGGAAGACAAAUGAGGCGCUUUAGCCGUCUCCACGGCCAGCCCCUCCCUCAUAACCCGAGAUUCUUUGUGGGCUCUUAGUCCAUAGCUGCCUUUGAGGUGGUGUAGACCUUGCUAACCAGGACGGCCCAGUAGGCAGAGCUCAUUUUUAUUCCUGUCUGCAAUCGUGCAAAAACGCCUCUUAUGGAAAAGCCAGAGCGCCAGGAGUCAGCAAAACACACUAAAGAUUGGGCAGUCACUGGGGAGAACAUGGCCUGAAGCAACUGAAGAUCCACAAAAGAAGUGAAAAUAGCCUUAACUGAUGACAUUCCACCAUUGAGAUUUGUUCCUGCCCCACCCUAACUGAUACGAUAUAUUCUCCCCCGCCCUUAAGAAGACUCAGCCCGCCUGCACCCAGGUGAAAUAUACAGCCUUGUUGCUCACACAAAGCCUGUUUGGUGGUUUCUUCACACGGAUGCAUGUGACAUUUGGUGCUGAAGACCCAGGACAGGAGGACUCCUUUGGGAGACCAGUGCCCUGUUGUCGCCCUCACUCCGUGAGGAGAUCCACCUAUGAUCUCAGGUCCUCAGACCAACCAGCCCAAGGAACAUCUUGCCAAUUUCAAAUCGGGUAAGUGGUCUUUUCACUCUUCUCCAGCCUUUCUUGCUACCCUUCAAUCUUCCUCUCUCACUACCCUUCAAUCUCCCUGUCCUUCCAAUUCCCGUUCUUUUUCCUCUCUAGUAGAGAUAAGGAGACACAUUUUAUCUGUGGACCCAAAACUCCAGCGUCAGUCACGGACUCGGGAAGACAGUCUUCCCUUGGUGUUUAAUCACUGUGGGGACGCCUGCCUGAUUAUUCACCCACACUCCAUUGGUGUCUGAUCACCACGGGGAUGCCUGCCUUGGUCAUUCACCCACAUUCCCUUGGUGACAAGUCAAUUGCGGGGACACCUGCUUUGGCUGCUCACCCACAUUGCAGCCCAGGGCUGCUCAAUGCCCCCCGCUGCCCCACCCGCCUUCUCCGUGCCUCUACCCUCUCUUUUCUCGGGUUUACCUCCUUCACUAUGGGCAACCUUCCACCCUCCAUUCCUCCUUCUUCUCCCUUAGCCUGUGUUCUCAAAAACUUAAAACCUCUUCAACUCACACCUGACCUAAAACCUAAGUGUCUUAUUUUCUUCUGCAACACCGCUUGGCCCCAAUACAAACUCGACAAUGAUUCCAAAUAGCCAGAAAACGGCACUUUCGAGUUCUCCAUCCUACAAGUUCUAGAUAAUUCUUGUCAUAAAAUGGGCAAAUGGUCUGAGGUGCCUGACGUCCAGGCAUUCUUUUACACAUUGGUCCCUCCCUAGUCUCUGCUCCCAAUGUGACUCAUCCCAAAUCUUUCUUCUUUCUCUCCUUUCUGUUCCUUCGGUCUCCACCCCAAGUUCCGAGUCCUCUGAAUCCUUCUUUUCUAUGGACUCAUCUGACCUCCCCCCUUCUCCCCAGGCUGCUCCUCGCCAGGCUGAGCCAGGUCCCAAUUCUCACUUAGCCUCUGCUCCCCCACCCUAUAAUCCUUUUAUCACCUCCCCUCCUCACACCUGGUCCAGCUUACAGUUUCGUUCCUCGACUAGCUCUCCCCGAUCUGCCCAACAAUUUCCUGUUAAAGAGAUGGCUGACUAUCCUGACUUCAUCAGAGCAGGCUGGUGCCUGGCCUUCCUGGAAUGAGUGGGUGUUCUGACAGGCCCCCAGUUUGUCCCAUCUGCACCGCCAAGAGGUCUCCGGGUGGCCAGAGGAGCAAAGUUGCCUUCCAAGUGCCUGUUGGUGCCUGGGAGAACACAGCAGGAGUGUCGUGCGGCCCACAGCGCAGUGCAUGGUGAUUCCAGGCGCUGAACAACUCCCCUUGACCCUUGGGCCUGCAUCUGACUCCCGGCUGCAGAAUCAGAAGCUGAGUCCAGGCAACCGCUCGGCCACUCCCGGUCACUCCUCUCUGGACACCCAGUUACUAAAGUCAGCAAAGAAGAUGCGGUAAUCACCGCCUGAUCUCCACAUGGUGAACACAACACUCUCACUAACACCUCCUUGACCAGUCAGUCUUCAGCACUGGGGGUGGACAGGCAGGUUUUCUGUGUUUACCAGAAUCGCACAGGCUAAGCACAAACAUGGAACCAGAGUUCCAGGUGAGGAAACCUCACUCGCAGAAGCCCAGGCUGCACCCCACCAGGUGAUGCAGUGCGCCUAGGCUGUGGGUGCUAGGAGCCAAGUGCUAGGGACUCGUCAUGAGUGGGAAUCCCCACGUUCCUGUCACUGCUGUCAAACAGAAGGUAAACAGUCUUACGAAUGUAAUUCCUUAGGAAGACUUGUACAAACUUUUAUUAGGAUAUCUAUUUAUUUAAUACUGAACUUUGGCCUACUUUGUGAUAAGACUAUAAACAAAUUGAGGAAAUCACUAUUUCUCACUUCUGUAUUUCUCAAAAAAUAAUUUUGUUACAGAGUUCAAUAUACUGUGUACUACUGAUCUUCUAUUGUGAAAGCAAAGCAUUUCAUCAAAACAAAGUAUUUUAAAUUAUGAGUGAAAAUUGUGUAUGUUAAUUUUG